UACGUAGGGGGCAAGCGUUGUCCGGAUUUAUUGGGCGUAAAGAGCGUGUAGGCGGCCAGACAGGUCCGUUGUGAAAACUCGAGGCUCAACCUCGAGAUGUCGAUGGAAACCGUCUGGCUAGAGUCCGGAAGAGGAGUGUGGAAUUCCUGGUGUAGCGGUGAAAUGCGCAGAUAUCAGGAGGAACACCGGUGGCGAAGGCGGGACUCUGGGCCGAUACUGACGCUGAGGAGCGAAAGCGUGGGGAGCGAACAGG
This 253-nucleotide ribosomal RNA is filed under the name uncultured bacterium. RNAcentral describes it as "partial 16S ribosomal RNA". It matches the Rfam family "Bacterial small subunit ribosomal RNA", at positions 524 to 776 of the family's 1533-position model. The record is from RNAcentral.